Molecule: unclassified non-coding RNA, 266 nt
Filed under: Russulaceae sp.
Lineage: Eukaryota; Fungi; Basidiomycota; Agaricomycetes; Russulales; Russulaceae
Description: partial contains small subunit ribosomal RNA, internal transcribed spacer 1, and 5.8S ribosomal RNA
Rfam family: Eukaryotic small subunit ribosomal RNA (bases 1-46)
Source: RNAcentral
AAGUCGUAACAAGGUUUCCGUAGGUGAACCUGCGGAAGGAUCAUUAUCGUACAACCGAGGUGCGAGGGUUGUCGCUGACCUUCAAAGGUCAUGCACGCCCAAGCGCUCUCACACAUCCAUCUCACCCAUUUGUGCAUCACCGCGUGGGCCCACCCUUUGCCGGGGAGGGCUUGCGUUUUCACAUAAAACUUGAUACAGUGUAGAAUGUUUUCAUUUGCGGUCACAUGCAAUCAAUACAACUUUCAACAACGGAUCUCUUGGCUCUC